AAGGUUUGGUCCUGGCCUUCCUAUUAGUUAUUAACAGAAUUACACAUGCAAGCCUCCACAUCCCGGUGAAGAUGCCCUCUAAAUCUAUUAAACGAUUAAAAGGAGCGGGCAUCAGGCACACUAAAUAAGUAGCCCAUAACGCCUUGCUCAACCACACCCCCACGGGAUACAGCAGUGAUAAAAAUUAAGCCAUGAACGAAAGUUUGACUAAGCCAUGUUAAUAUUAAGAGUUGGUAAAUUUCGUGCCAGCCACCGCGGUCAUACGAUUAACCCAAAUUAAUAGGCUCACGGCGUAAAACGUGCUAAGGAUUACAAAACACUAAAGUUAAAAUUUAACCAGGCCGUAAAAAGCUACUGUUAAUAUAAAAUAUACCACGAAAGUGACUUUAUCAUCUCCAACAACACGAUAGCUGGGACCCAAACUGGGAUUAGAUACCCCACUAUGCCCAGCCCUAAACACAAACAAUUUACACAACAAAAU
Molecule: ribosomal RNA, 481 nt
Filed under: Martes martes (European pine marten)
Lineage: Eukaryota; Metazoa; Chordata; Mammalia; Carnivora; Mustelidae
Description: partial 12S ribosomal RNA
Source: RNAcentral